This 388-nucleotide ribosomal RNA is filed under the name uncultured bacterium. RNAcentral's name for it is "bacterial SSU rRNA". It matches the Rfam family "Bacterial small subunit ribosomal RNA", at positions 30 to 419 of the family's 1533-position model. The record is from RNAcentral.
AUUGAACGCUGGCGGCAUGCCUUACACAUGCAAGUCGAACGGUAGCGCGGGGUAACCUGGCGACGAGUGGCGAACGGGUGAGUAAUGCAUCGGAACGUGCCCUGGAAUGGGGGAUAACGUAGCGAAAGUUACGCUAAUACCGCAUAUUCUGUGAGCAGGAAAGCAGGGGAUCGCAAGACCUUGCGUUCUGGGAGCGGCCGAUGUCGGAUUAGCUAGUUGGUGAGGUAAAAGGCUCACCAAGGCGACGAUCCGUAGCGGGUCUGAGAGGAUGAUCCGCCACACUGGGACUGAGACACGGCCCAGACUCCUACGGGAGGCAGCAGUGGGGAAUUUUGGACAAUGGGCGCAAGCCUGAUCCAGCCAUGCCGCGUGAGUGAAGAAGGCCUUC